This 316-nucleotide ribosomal RNA is filed under the name uncultured bacterium. RNAcentral's name for it is "bacterial SSU rRNA". It matches the Rfam family "Bacterial small subunit ribosomal RNA", at positions 28 to 334 of the family's 1533-position model. The record is from RNAcentral.
GAUGAGCGCUGGCGGCAUGCCUAACACAUGCAAGUCGAACGAAGCACAUGAGACAGCUUGCUGAGGAUUGUGACUUAGUGGCGAACGGGUGAGUAAUGCAUGAGCAACCUGCCCUUCAGUGGGGGACAACAGUUGGAAACGACUGCUAAUACCGCGUAACACUUCCGAAAGGCAUCUUUUGGAAGUCAAAGAUUUAUCGCUGAAGGAUGGGCUCAUGUCUGAUUAGCUAGUUGGUAGGGUAACGGCCUACCAAGGCGACGAUCAGUAGCCGGUCUGAGAGGAUGAACGGCCACAUUGGGACUGAGAUACGGCCCAG